Molecule: ribosomal RNA, 472 nt
Filed under: uncultured bacterium
Lineage: Bacteria
Description: bacterial SSU rRNA
Rfam family: Bacterial small subunit ribosomal RNA
Source: RNAcentral
UAGGGAAUAUUGGUCAAUGGGUGAAAGCCUGAUCCAGCCAUGCCGCGUGUGUGAAGAAGGUCUUCGGAUUGUAAAGCACUUUAAGUUGGGAGGAAGGGCAGUAAGUUAAUACCUUGCUGUUUUGACGUUACCGACAGAAUAAGCACCGGCUAACUCUGUGCCAGCAGCCGCGGUAAUACAGAGGGUGCAAGCGUUAAUCGGAAUUACUGGGCGUAAAGCGCGCGUAGGUGGUUUGUUAAGUUGGAUGUGAAAGCCCCGGGCUCAACCUGGGAACUGCAUCCAAAACUGGCAAGCUAGAGUACGGUAGAGGGUGGUGGAAUUUCCUGUGUAGCGGUGAAAUGCGUAGAUAUAGGAAGGAACACCAGUGGCGAAGGCGACCACCUGGACUGAUACUGACACUGAGGUGCGAAAGCGUGGGGAGCAAACAGGAUUAGAUACCCAUGUAGUCCCUGAGCGGGCUGGCAAGGCGCAU